Molecule: ribosomal RNA, 450 nt
Filed under: uncultured bacterium
Lineage: Bacteria
Description: bacterial SSU rRNA
Rfam family: Bacterial small subunit ribosomal RNA
Source: RNAcentral
GUAGGGAAUCUUCCACAAUGGGCGAAAGCCUGAUGGAGCAACGCCGCGUGAGUGAAGAAGGAUUUCGGUUCGUAAAACUCUGUUGUAAGGGAAGAACAAGUACAGUAGUAACUGGCUGUACCUUGACGGUACCUUAUUAGAAAGCCACGGCUAACUACGUGCCAGCAGCCGCGGUAAUACGUAGGUGGCAAGCGUUGUCCGGAAUUAUUGGGCGUAAAGCGCGCGCAGGUGGUUUCUUAAGUCUGAUGUGAAAGCCCACGGCUCAACCGUGGAGGGUCAUUGGAAACUGGGAGACUUGAGUGCAGAAGAGGAUAGUGGAAUUCCAAGUGUAGCGGUGAAAUGCGUAGAGAUUUGGAGGAACACCAGUGGCGAAGGCGACUAUCUGGUCUGUAACUGACACUGAGGCGCGAAAGCGUGGGGAGCAAACAGGAUUAGAAACCCUAGUAGUCC